RNAcentral lists this ribosomal RNA (506 nucleotides) under uncultured bacterium. RNAcentral's name for it is "partial 16S ribosomal RNA". It matches the Rfam family "Bacterial small subunit ribosomal RNA", at positions 29 to 523 of the family's 1533-position model. The record is from RNAcentral.
AGUGAACGCUGGCGGUAGGCCUAACACAUGCAAGUCGAACGGCAGCACAGGAGAGCUUGCUCUCUGGGUGGCGAGUGGCGGACGGGUGAGGAAUACAUCGGAAUCUACUUUUUCGUGGGGGAUUACGUAGGGAAACUUACGCUAAUACCGCAUACGACCUACGGGUGAAAGCAGGGGAUCUUCGGACCUUGCGCGAUUGAAUGAGCCGGUGUCGGAUUAGCUAGUUGGCGGGGUAAAGGCCCACCAAGGCGACGAUCCGUAGCUGGUCUGAGAGGAUGAUCAGCCACACUGGAACUGUGACACGGUCCAGACUCCUACGGGAGGCAGCAGUGGGGAAUAUUGGACAAUGGGCGCAAGCCUGGUCCAGCCAUACCGCGUGGGUGAAGAAGGCCUUCGGGUUGUAAAGCCCUUUUGUUGGGAAAGAAAUCCAGCUGGUUAAUACCCGGUUGGGAUGACGGUACCCAAAGAAUAAGCACCGGCUAACUUCGUGCCAGCCGCCGCGGUAA